RNAcentral lists this ribosomal RNA (497 nucleotides) under uncultured bacterium. RNAcentral describes it as "partial 16S ribosomal RNA". It matches the Rfam family "Bacterial small subunit ribosomal RNA", at positions 28 to 507 of the family's 1533-position model. The record is from RNAcentral.
GAUGAACGCUGGCGGCGUGCCUAAUACAUGCAAGUCGAGCGAACAGACGAGGAGCUUGCUCCUCUGACGUUAGCGGCGGACGGGUGAGUAACACGUGGAUAACCUACCUAUAAGACUGGGAUAACUUCGGGAAACCGGAGCUAAUACCGGAUAAUAUAUUGAACCGCAUGGUUCAAUAGUGAAAGACGGUUUUGCUGUCACUUAUAGAUGGAUCCGCGCCGUAUUAGCUAGUUGGUAAGGUAACGGCUUACCAAGGCAACGAUGCGUAGCCGACCUGAGAGGGGGAUCGGCCACACUGGAACUGAGACACGGUCCAGACUCCUACGGGAGGCAGCAGUAGGGAAUCUUCCGCAAUGGGCGAAAGCCUGACGGAGCAACGCCGCGUGAGUGAUGAAGGUCUUCGGAUCGUAAAACUCUGUUAUUAGGGAAGAACAAAUGUGUAAGUAACUAUGCACGUCUUGACGGUACCUAAUCAGAAAGCCACGGCUAACUACGUG